AACGAACGCUGGCGGCAUGCCUAACACAUGCAAGUCGAACGAGACCUUCGGGUCUAGUGGCGCACGGGUGCGUAACGCGUGGGAACCUGCCCUUAGGUUCCGAAAAACUCUCCGUCAGGGGUGCUAAUACCGGAUAAUGUCUUCGGACCAAAGAUUUAUCGCCUUUGGAUGGGCCCGCGUUGGAUUAGCUAGUUGGUAGGGUAAAAGCCUAUCAAGGCUACGAUCCAUAGCUGGUCAGAGAGGAUGGGCAGCCACACUGGGACUGUGACACGGCCGAGACUCCUACGGGAGGCAGGAGAGGGGAAUAUUGGACAACGGGCGAAGGCCUGAUCCAGCUAUGCCGCGUGAGUGAUGAAGGCCUUAGGGUUGUAAAGCUCUUUUACCCGGGAUGAUAAUGACAGUACCGGGAGAAUAAGCACCGGCUAACUCCGUG
RNAcentral lists this ribosomal RNA (433 nucleotides) under uncultured bacterium. Its description in RNAcentral is "partial 16S ribosomal RNA". It matches the Rfam family "Bacterial small subunit ribosomal RNA", at positions 29 to 507 of the family's 1533-position model. The record is from RNAcentral.